UGGCAAGGAAUUUCUUCCCCUCAGAGACUAAGGAAAGCUGCUUUUGAAACCAGUGAAGAGUCAUUUCCUCCAAGCAGCAGGAAGAGAGUGUGAAAGAAAGAGAGGGAUUAUCUCCAUGCCAUGGGAGACGCUGGGAAUGCACAGGACAAACCUCCCUUGGCUCUAAACGGUAUUUCUCCUCAAGAAAAAGAAAUACGAUAACCUUACUUUCCCUAGAGCAAAGGCAUCUGAUGUGGAUGGACCACGUUUACAUCAAUAUACCCCACAGGAUAUUUGAAAGCUCUGAUUUCAUCUUUAAUUUCCCCGAACAAGAUUCUAGUUCCAUACCACCACCACCUCAAAAUACAGGAACACCCCAACUCCACUCUCUGUAGAAGACCCAUGACCAUGCAAUGCUGCCCUUUGAAUGUUGCCAGUAUCAGGAUGCAGUCUCACCUCCAUCAUGAAAUGUGUGCCCCUUGAAGUCAAGAUCAAGUCUUAAGUUGUCGGUGUUCUCCAAUUAUCAUUAACCCAGUAUGUUUUAAAACCAGCCUUAGAAGUAAUUAUAGCAGGGAACUGGUUUGGUGUCUUUCCAAUCAACAGGAAGAAAUAAUAAGAAAAGGAUUUCAAUCACAAGCUAUGAAAUCUGCUUCUUAAGCAAAAAUCCAGGAGGAAAAAAAAA
This is a long non-coding RNA of Peromyscus californicus insignis, 661 nucleotides long. RefSeq lists it as uncharacterized. The record is from RefSeq and is a predicted model, not a curated record. The transcript has 3 exons. Lineage: Eukaryota; Metazoa; Chordata; Mammalia; Rodentia; Cricetidae.